RNAcentral lists this long non-coding RNA (606 nucleotides) under Mytilus galloprovincialis (Mediterranean mussel). Lineage: Eukaryota; Metazoa; Mollusca; Bivalvia; Mytilida; Mytilidae. The record is from RNAcentral.
GAUAGCACCUCUGGAAAGUUUGCAACUGUAUAUGUGUAUUAUUUCAAAUAGGUUAUUGACGUGUAUUAUUUUAAAUAUGUAUUCAAAUCACUGUUUUGAUUUUUCAAACUAAACCAUUGUCUCGCCAGCAAUUUCCAAAAAUCACUUUUUAUGCCCCAUUUAUGGGCAUUAUGUUUUCUGGUCUGUGCGUCCCUUCGUCCGUCCGUCCUUCCGUCCGUUCGUCUGUCCCAUUCAGGUUAAAGUUUUUGGUCAAGAUACCUUUUGAUGAAGUUGAAGUCCAAUUAAUUUGAAACUUAGUACACACUAGAACACACCCGUGAUAUCGCGGGUCUGUGACUGAAUUAAAGUAUAUAACUAUGCCUACGCCUUAUUUUAGUAUUGGGAUUGCCAUCUGAUAAAGUCAUGCCGAUUAUAAGAUGCACAGUGUUCUCUGCUUUCAAAAUCUGUCUGUUUGAACCAGUCGACCUGGAACUUAUCAAUUAUUGGUAAUAUUAAUUGAAAACAAAAGAUCCUGGUAAUGGAGUAUUUUUUAAUCAACAGCAUGGUCCUAUAUUUAUUAAUUUAGUUAUAAAUAAAGUUGAAUUCUUUGAUUCGCUGUUUAAUGUC